CCCCUCUCAGAGUCGCACCUGGAGAGUUUCCAGUCCUCUACCAGUCUCGGCUAUGGGAGGCAAAAUCAAGCAGGCCUGUCCAUUCCAUUCCUAACUUGGGCAGUGGCUAGUGAGUGGAAGGCCAUCUGCUACAAGU
Molecule: small nucleolar RNA, 136 nt
Organism: Ornithorhynchus anatinus (platypus)
Lineage: Eukaryota; Metazoa; Chordata; Mammalia; Monotremata; Ornithorhynchidae
Source: RefSeq, a predicted model, not a curated record